AUUAACUUAAGAAGUUUCUCCUCUCUCUUGCUCUCUUUCACUCUCGCUCUCUCUCUCUCUCUCUCUCUGCGAGCGAUGGACUCCUUCGCCGUCGUUGCCCGGCCACUGCCGUCCCUCGCCGUCUGCGAUGUGGCGAUCAAGAAGACCGCCUACUCGUUGAACCUACCCGUCGCCGAUUCCACUUGUGGAUGCAGAAGACGGACCCUAAUCAUGCCUUCCGCCGUCACCACCCAGUGGAAGGAUGGCGCAGCCGCCUCCGUAGCCGGAUCCAUCUACCUUCCACUCGAUAAGGUCGCGGCGGACUCGUUGCAGUACGAAAGUGGCUCCCUUGGGGGCAUCUCAGAGAGGACCCGACCGGCGGCGGAGGAGGAACGCUCGAGUGGGGCGCUCACGCCGAUGGAGUAUCUGAAGAAUGUUCUCUCCUCGAGGGUAUACGACGUCGCGAUCGAGACCCCUCUGCAGUUGGCCACGAAGCUGUCGGAGAGGCUCGGGGUCAAUCUCUGGCUCAAGAGGGAGGACUUGCAACCGGUUUUUUCAUUUAAGCUACGGGGAGCUUACAAUAUGAUGGUUAAGCUUUCAAGAGAGCAGUUGGAUAAAGGUGUGAUAUGCUCUUCUGCUGGAAAUCAUGCUCAAGGAGUUGCAUUAGCUGCUAAGAAAUUAGGCUGUGAUGCUGUCAUUGUAAUGCCAGUUACUACACCAGAAAUUAAGUGGCGAUCUGUUGAGAGAUUAGGUGCAACAGUUGUCCUUAAGGGGGACUCAUAUGAUGAGACACAGUCAUAUGCCAAGCAGCGCGGGGAGCAGGAAGGUCGCACCUUCAUACACCCUUUUGACCAUCCAGAUGUUAUUACAGGCCAAGGAACCAUUGGAAUGGAGAUCAUUCGCCAAAUGAAAGGUCCACUUGAUGCAAUAUUCGUGCCAGUUGGAGGUGGUGGAUUAAUAGCAGGGAUUGCUGCUUAUGUAAAACGAGUUCGUCCAGAGGUGAAGAUCAUUGGUGUUGAGCCCUCUGAUGCCAAUGCAAUGGCAUUAUCUUUAUAUCAUGGUCAGCGGAUCAUGCUAGAUCAAGUUGGUGGAUUUGCUGAUGGUGUAGCAGUGAAGGUAGUUGGAGAAGAAACAUUUCGCUUAUGCCGGGAACUUGUUGACGGUGUGGUUCUUGUCAGUCGUGAUGCAAUCUGUGCAUCUAUCAAGGAUAUGUUUGAGGAGAAAAGGAGCAUCCUAGAACCAGCUGGAGCUCUUUCUCUAGCUGGUGCAGAGGCAUACUGCAAGUACUAUGGGCUGAAAGGUGCAAGUAUUGUUGCAAUAACUAGUGGCGCAAACAUGAACUUCGACAGACUGAGGUUGGUAACUGAACUUGCUGAUGUUGGUCGAAAACGAGAAGCUGUACUUGCAACAAUUCUACCAGAGGAGCAUGGGAGCUUCAAGAUGUUUUGUAAACUGGUUGGCACGAUGAAUAUGACCGAGUUUAAAUACAGAUAUGAGUCUCAUAGAGAAAAUGCUCUUGUUCUUUACAGCGUUGGACUUCAUACUGAGACAGAACUGGGAGCCAUGGUGAACCGCAUGAAAUCUGCACAACUUCAAACCAUCAAUCUUACUAAUGAUGACUUAGCGAAGGAUCACCUCAGAUACUUUAUGGGAGGCCGAUCAAAUGUUCAAGAUGAACUACUUUGCCGAUUCAUAUUCCCCGAGAGGCCAGGUGCUCUCAUGAAGUUUUUGGAUUGCUUUAGCCCACGUUGGAAUAUCAGCCUCUUCCAUUAUCGAGCUCAGGGAGCAGCUGGUGCAAAUGUGUUGGUAGGCAUCCAAGUGCCUGGCAACGAUAUGCAAGAAUUCAAGGAUCGAGCUCAUGCUCUCGGAUAUGAGUAUACUUACGAGACGACCAACGAAUCCUAUCGGCUUCUAAUGCAGUGACAGGAUCCAACAACUAGAACUGCUGUUUACUAGGCUUUUAAGGAGGCUUCUAGAGGAGAAAGUUCACAGAAAUCACCCAUUAUGACGAGCCUUGAUGCUUUUCCUUCGUUCAUUCUUUUAUGGUCUAAGUCAGCAAGCACAAUGACAACAAGUGGAAGAACUGCAAACACAACCCACAAGGCAAUGGCAGCUUUAGCAACAAAAGAGAGACAAGGCCACAUGCAAAUAAUCCAGGAAUACCAACCUGCAACACCAGAAAAUAGGUACAUUCUAUCUCAGUGCAUCCUCAUACUGCAAGUGGUGCAGACUCAACCGACAAGCAAAUAUGAAAAAUGUAUUGUCUUGAAGGAUUGGUUCAUAAUUGAAGCUAACCUUGUGGAGUGGAGCUCCUUCAAGAUUUCUAUGAAGCACAAAUUCAGAAUUGCUUAAGCUGCAUGUGAAGAGAAACCAAAAAAUCCAGCUUUGUAAUACUUUCUCUAAAAAGUACUCAAAUUAUUUUACUAAACCAAAAUGAUGAGCUACAGCUAUUACCUUCA
Molecule: RNA transcript, 2438 nt
Organism: Zingiber officinale
Lineage: Eukaryota; Viridiplantae; Streptophyta; Magnoliopsida; Zingiberales; Zingiberaceae
Gene name: threonine dehydratase 1 biosynthetic, chloroplastic-like
Exons: 10
Source: RefSeq, a predicted model, not a curated record